Molecule: ribosomal RNA, 253 nt
Filed under: uncultured bacterium
Lineage: Bacteria
Description: partial 16S ribosomal RNA
Rfam family: Bacterial small subunit ribosomal RNA
Source: RNAcentral
GACAGAGGGUGCAAACGUUGCUCGGAAUCACUGGGCGUAAAGGGCGUGUAGGCGGGAAGGCAAGUCAGAUGUGAAAUCCCUGGGCUCAACCCAGGAACUGCAUUUGAAACUCCCUUUCUUGAGUGUCGGAGAGGAAAGCGGAAUUCCUGGUGUAGAGGUGAAAUUCGUAGAUAUCAGGAGGAACACCGGUGGCGAAGGCGGCUUUCUGGACGAUCACUGACGCUGAGACGCGAAAGCGUGGGGAGCAAACAGG